Molecule: ribosomal RNA, 460 nt
Filed under: uncultured bacterium
Lineage: Bacteria
Description: partial 16S ribosomal RNA
Rfam family: Bacterial small subunit ribosomal RNA
Source: RNAcentral
CCUACGGGUGGCAGCAGUGAGGAAUAUUGGUCAAUGGACGAGAGUCUGAACCAGCCAAGUAGCGUGAAGGAUGAAUGCUCUAUGGGUUGUAAACUUCUUUUAUAUAGGAGUAAAAUGCUCCACGUGAGGGAUUUUGUAUGUACCAUAUGAAUACGGCUCGGCUAACUCCGUGCCAGCAGCCGCGGUAAUACGGAGGAUCCGAGCGUUAUCCGGAGUUAUUGGGGGUAGAGAGAGCGUAGGUGGAUUGUUAAGUCAGAUGUGAAAGUUUGAGGCUUAACCGUAAAACUGCAGUUGAAACUGGCAGUCUAGAGUAUAGGAGAGGUAGGUGGAAUUCGUGGUGUAGCGGUGAAAUGCGUAGAGAUCACGAAGAAUACGGAUUGCGAAGGCAACUCGCUAGAAUGCAACUGACACUGAUGCGCGAAAGUGUGGGGAGCAAACAGGAUUAGAUACCCGGGUAGUC